RNAcentral lists this ribosomal RNA (865 nucleotides) under Peribacillus simplex. RNAcentral's name for it is "bacterial SSU rRNA". It matches the Rfam family "Bacterial small subunit ribosomal RNA", at positions 50 to 900 of the family's 1533-position model. The record is from RNAcentral. Lineage: Bacteria; Bacillati; Bacillota; Bacilli; Caryophanales; Bacillaceae.
UUUAUCUUCGACGAGCGAUGCGAUGGGAGCUUCGCUCCCUGCAGAUUAGCGGCGGACGGGUGAGUAACACGUGGGCAACCUGCCUAUAAGACUGGGAUAACUUCGGGAAACCGGAGCUAAUACCGGAUACGUUCUUUUCUCGCAUGAGAGAAGAUGGAAAGACGGUUUACGCUGUCACUUAUAGAUGGGCCCGCGGCGCAUUAGCUAGUUGGUGAGGUAAUGGCUCACCAAGGCGACGAUGCGUAGCCGACCUGAGAGGGUGAUCGGCCACACUGGGACUGAGACACGGCCCAGACUCCUACGGGAGGCAGCAGUAGGGAAUCUUCCGCAAUGGACGAAAGUCUGACGGAGCAACGCCGCGUGAACGAAGAAGGCCUUCGGGUCGUAAAGUUCUGUUGUUAGGGAAGAACAAGUACCAGAGUAACUGCUGGUACCUUGACGGUACCUAACCAGAAAGCCACGGCUAACUACGUGCCAGCAGCCGCGGUAAUACGUAGGUGGCAAGCGUUGUCCGGAAUUAUUGGGCGUAAAGCGCGCGCAGGUGGUUCCUUAAGUCUGAUGUGAAAGCCCACGGCUCAACCGUGGAGGGUCAUUGGAAACUGGGGAACUUGAGUGCAGAAGAGGAAAGUGGAAUUCCAAGUGUAGCGGUGAAAUGCGUAGAGAUUUGGAGGAACACCAUUGGCGAAGGCGACUUUCUGGUCUGUAACUGACACUGAGGCGCGAAAGCGUGGGGAGCAAACAGGAUUAUAUACCCUGGUAUCCACGCCGUAAACGAUGAGUGCUAAGUGUUAGAGGGUUCCGCCCUUUAGUGCUGCAGCUAACGCAUUAAGCACUCCGCCUGGGGAGUACGGCCGCAGGCUGAUAU